This is a long non-coding RNA of Manis javanica (Malayan pangolin), 1930 nucleotides long. RefSeq lists it as uncharacterized. The record is from RefSeq and is a predicted model, not a curated record. NCBI's taxonomy places the organism in Eukaryota, Metazoa, Chordata, Mammalia, Pholidota, Manidae.
AGAGAACGCACGCACGCUGUGCCCACUGCCCUGUCCAGCCUGGAGAGAGCUCAGAGAAGGCUCAGGAACAGGCCCAGGCUAGACUUCCUGGCUGACAUUCAACCUGCUGGCUCCUGCCUCACCCUCUUCCUGAAUCGGCUUCAGUCCUUCAUUUGAACUCUGAGUUGCAGCCCCACUGACCUACAGCACAUCCCCUAAAUUUGCCAUGAUCAUUCUUAACCUCUGAGCCUUUUCAUAUUCUGUUUCCUCUGCAGCACCUUUCCUCCACCUACUCCUUGUUCAGCCUACGGUGCACAGUUCAGCUUCAGUGGUACCCCAAGGCCCUUCGCUCUGUGCCUCAAAGGAUCCUGUCCUAUGAUGCCCUAGCUAUCUGUUUACUCAUUUCUUUUCUCAACUGGAGUAUGAGGCCAUGAUGGCAGGGGCCAUGCCAUGUUCACUGUGAUGUUCCAAGUGCCUAAGAAAGUAUUCAUGGCAGAGACUGUCACCAAGACCCAUUCCCUCCUCUUCCUGGGCGCACAGCUGGACUACAUCUCCCAGCUGCCUCUGCUGGGAAGAUAGACACGAGCCACCCAGCUCAUGAACAGAUACACAGCUACGCACUGAUGAAUGCUACGCAGGAGGAGCGGACAUGGCAGUGAGCACGGACAGUGGGCACGACUCGGUUGGGAAGCUUAUGAAAGGAAUCCCUGAGGGGUGACGGACGGAGCCCCCAGCUGAGGGAAAGCCCUGCACGGUGGGAGGUGCUGUUUGUACCUUCCCAGGACACAUGCUUCUUUUACAUGGUAAUCACGCCUGGACUUUCCUUUACGGACUGAGUGUCCUCCAGUGAAGUGCUGGUAAGUAUGUAACAUGCAGCUCUCCAAAAGCACCUGAUCUGUGGCACUGCCAAUUUCUGUGGUGCAAAUCCCCCACCAGUGCCACAUGGAACCAUACUGAGGCCCAAGGCAAAGUGGAAACAGGUGCCCCUAAGUAUUCAUGUUUUGUAUUUUGAAUGGUUAGUUUUAUGGAAAAAAAAAUUGAAUGUGUAAAGUGAGUUUUCUCAUUAAAGUGAGGGUAAAAAAUGUAAUAAAUUCUGGUUUGGGUAUUAAACCAUUGCAGUAUAAGAUUACAGUGUCAGUUUUAAUAUAUCUACUCUUCUAUGUUUCAAUAUUUUUUGAACUACUUUAACAUUUUGGGAGGAUUUAACCAUUAAACCAUUUUGGCCAUAAAAAAAAUAUACACAGACAUGUGAACGGAGAACUCAUUUUUCCUUUUGCUUCAGGUUCCGAUAUGGUUGACACUGUCAGAUCCUGUCAUUUUAGAUUUUGAUAUUCUGUUCAUCAUGGAUUUGGGGAGCACUGAUUUUGGUUUCUUAAAAUAUCCCAUUAAAAUACUGUUGAUCUUGCUCAUGAUCUCAUGUUUUGCUUUAAAAUAUUAAUAAGAGAUGAUAACCUAUUCUUACCGAUUUUAUCGCUUAUUAUGUUUGAGGAUGUUCAACACCAUAGGAAACAGUAGAAAUAUAAUAAUGUAUAUUUUAAGGGAAAAACCAUAGGCAGAAAUACAAGCUUUGUCCGUUUUCUCAUUGAAGAUUAUUGCUUUAUAAAAUCUGUUCCAUGAAACAAGUUCUCCGAAGAUUUUUAAGUCAUAAGAAAACUCCUCUACUGAAAUGUUAUAAAUAUAUUUGAUAUUAAACUAUACUUUAAUGAGAACACACACUAUUGGACUUUACUCCUGAGCUUUUUGGUGCCCCCUAAAAUUCCAUGCCCGAGGUCAGAGCCUCCCAUGUCCCACCCUGAUCUGGGUCCUACUUCCAAACUUCCAGGACUGCUAAGGCUCCUGAGGUGGACACUGCAUUUCUAGUGCCUCAGAGCCUGGGUGUCCAGCUUGGCCUGACAGCACGGGGGAAACAGGAGCGUGUCCUAAAGGACAAGAGGUGGCAGGUGCCCCUGGG